AGAUCAUUUUCACACAACAAUUUAGUUUUGCUACUUUAAUUAACUUUAAUCAAAAACCGAAGUUCCAGCUUCAUACCAAAAUCUUAUCUCAGAUUGAAAUCGCUUCAACAAAUCAUAAGCCAAAAUCCUUCCAGAUUGAAAUCGCCUCAUCAAAUCAUAGCCAAAAAUCGCUUUCAGAUUCCCUAAUUUCUCUUAUCAUCGUAUCCCUAAUUUCUUCAACAAAUCAUAGCUUCUGAUUGCGUUUUCAUCGUAGCUCAUAACUUCUCUCUCUCCCGUAGCUUCUCUGUAGCUGUGCUCUUCUUCCGCCUUCGUUCAUUUGAGCCAAGUAUUUUCAUUUGGGAACAACCAACGAAGUUACUUCAUCUCCUCUGUUGCGGUAAUAUUUUUCGGUUAGAUCGUGAUUUGAGAGUUAUAUACUGUUAAAGGUUUUGUUUAUUUCUAAGGGACUCAAUGUGUAUACUGUGAGUUACACUUUACUGGCUAAUGUUACAGUGUUCAAUUGUGCUGACAGUCAAUCGAGUGUUGCAUCCUCUUGUUGCCAUGCAUUCGCGAUAUCAUUAUGAGGGUACUGGAUUUGUUACCUCCCCUUGAAAGCUUUGGAAUGGAUCUUAUCAUUUUAACAUAACACAAUAUUAUCCUAGGAGACCUCCCUCGAUGGGCGCAAUAAUUUCCACAAGCUAAAAAAGAUUUUGACAGGAAGUUGAGGCAGAAGUGAAAGAAGCAGCUGUGAUAGCUAUGGGAACUGAAAUCGGUGAACUAGAUUUGUCAGAUAUUAGAGAGCUAUGACAGGGAACCAUUAUUAAUGCUUAGAGCUUUGAUGACAACAACCAUCUAUAUAACUCACCAGAGCUUGAGGAUUCAACCCUAGCUGCUCUGGGAUUCAUGGAUCAGUACUUGUCAUCACUAGACAUGGACAUGUUUCAAGGAGUUCAAAAUAGAAAGAUCACUAGGGAGAAAUCACCCCAUGUCUCAAGUGCAAGAGGAUCAUUAAGUCUGGCUAAGAAACUUAACGCUCGAACUCAAAAUAAAGAUAAAGACCCUUUCAAAUGGGCUGAAAGUGAUCAAAGUAAAAAAGAAGCUUUGAAGAGCCAUUGUGAGGCAGUGAGGAGGAGAAUGAGCAAGGAUUCAGGGUCAGGGUGUUGCUGUUAAGGUUAUCCAAAAAGUUAAGGAAGGAAAAUGAUGAGGCUCAGGAGAUUAUACAGUGAGAUGUUGUAAAUUGUCACAAAUUUUAUCCUAGUUUUAAGCAUGAAACAUAGUUGAGAGUUGAUUUUGUAAUGUUUUGUAUAAAUAGCAUAUUAUUCUUUAAUUAGAGUUGGUCCCUAUUUGUACCAAUAUCUAGAACAUAAUUUCGCUGUUAAAUUUUUUUUUUCA
Molecule: long non-coding RNA, 1371 nt
Organism: Lathyrus oleraceus (garden pea)
Lineage: Eukaryota; Viridiplantae; Streptophyta; Magnoliopsida; Fabales; Fabaceae
Exons: 5
Source: RefSeq, a predicted model, not a curated record